This 1326-nucleotide ribosomal RNA is filed under the name Pseudarthrobacter sulfonivorans. RNAcentral describes it as "Arthrobacter sulfonivorans 16S ribosomal RNA". It matches the Rfam family "Bacterial small subunit ribosomal RNA", at positions 90 to 1428 of the family's 1533-position model. The record is from RNAcentral. Lineage: Bacteria; Bacillati; Actinomycetota; Actinomycetes; Micrococcales; Micrococcaceae.
GAUUAGUGGCGAACGGGUGAGUAACACGUGAGUAACCUGCCCUUGACUCUGGGAUAAGCCUGGGAAACUGGGUCUAAUACCGGAUAUGACUCCUCAUCGCAUGGUGGGGGGUGGAAAGCUUUUUGUGGUUUUGGAUGGACUCGCGGCCUAUCAGCUUGUUGGUGAGGUAAUGGCUUACCAAGGCGACGACGGGUAGCCGGCCUGAGAGGGUGACCGGCCACACUGGGACUGAGACACGGCCCAGACUCCUACGGGAGGCAGCAGUGGGGAAUAUUGCACAAUGGGCGAAAGCCUGAUGCAGCGACGCCGCGUGAGGGAUGACGGCCUUCGGGUUGUAAACCUCUUUCAGUAGGGAAGAAGCGAAAGUGACGGUACCUGCAGAAGAAGCGCCGGCUAACUACGUGCCAGCAGCCGCGGUAAUACGUAGGGCGCAAGCGUUAUCCGGAAUUAUUGGGCGUAAAGAGCUCGUAGGCGGUUUGUCGCGUCUGCCGUGAAAGUCCGGGGCUCAACUCCGGAUCUGCGGUGGGUACGGGCAGACUAGAGUGAUGUAGGGGAGACUGGAAUUCCUGGUGUAGCGGUGAAAUGCGCAGAUAUCAGGAGGAACACCGAUGGCGAAGGCAGGUCUCUGGGCAUUAACUGACGCUGAGGAGCGAAAGCAUGGGGAGCGAACAGGAUUAGAUACCCUGGUAGUCCAUGCCGUAAACGUUGGGCACUAGGUGUGGGGGACAUUCCACGUUUUCCGCGCCGUAGCUAACGCAUUAAGUGCCCCGCCUGGGAGUACGGCCGCAAGGCUAAAACUCAAAGGAAUUGACGGGGGCCCGCACAAGCGGCGGAGCAUGCGGAUUAAUUCGAUGCAACGCGAAGAACCUUACCAAGGCUUGACAUGGACUGGAAAUACCUGGAAACAGGUGCCCCGCUUGCGGUCGGUUCACAGGUGGUGCAUGGUUGUCGUCAGCUCGUGUCGUGAGAUGUUGGGUUAAGUCCCGCAACGAGCGCAACCCUCGUUCUAUGUUGCCAGCGCGUAAUGGCGGGGACUCAUAGGAGACUGCCGGGGUCAACUCGGAGGAAGGUGGGGACGACGUCAAAUCAUCAUGCCCCUUAUGUCUUGGGCUUCACGCAUGCUACAAUGGCCGGUACAAAGGGUUGCGAUACUGUGAGGUGGAGCUAAUCCCAAAAAGCCGGUCUCAGUUCGGAUUGGGGUCUGCAACUCGACCCCAUGAAGUCGGAGUCGCUAGUAAUCGCAGAUCAGCAACGCUGCGGUGAAUACGUUCCCGGGCCUUGUACACACCGCCCGUCAAGUCACGAAAGUUGGUAACACCCGAAGCC